GUGAGAGUAAACUGGCAGAGGGAGGGGGAGAACAGAACAAUGGGGAAAAACCCAUUAGGCAAUUAAUCUCUCUUAAUAAGAACAUUAACAUUCUCCAAGCGAGAGCAGAGGCAGUUUGGAACUAGUCAAUUUUCUCUUUUCCAUCUCUUGGUGGAUAAUUGGGAAUACUGAGUUGGGGCAGGAUUACGGUUCCCCAGGUAACUGCUAUGGAAGCAGAAGGGAACAGAUUUCUCUUCACCACACCUCCAGGGGAACAAAUGGCGUGAACGAAAGCAAGAGAAAGACUUGGAUCACGGACAUAAGAUAUAUUGAGGCAACCCUUUAAUGGAACGGAGGGUGCCGUCCUAGGUGAUCUCUGAAGAGCUCGUUUCUUUGGAGGGCUUUUUCAAGUUUCCUUUCAAAGCACACCUCACACCAGGAAUGUGAGGGAAAUGGAUGAAGAACACUAUAGACCAAUUUCAGAUCAUGAGGGGGAAAAAAUACUGUAUGGUUGACUGAAGAGAUGGCAAGGUUACGGGACCAGACAUCUGUUAUUUUUUUCUAAAGAGACCAAUAACACUCAAGGUUUAUAUGCUUGAUUACAAACAGGCACAAGCGGCAUGAAAAUAGAGCUGUUACUCUUUAAAAUUCAGAGCAGGAGAUGCCCAUAAAAAAAAAUUUGACACGGGAUCAGAGGACAACCUCAAUAUCAAGGAUUGGUUAUUAAAAAAUUCCCAGAAAACCUGGCAUCUACUUAUUUGUUAAAAUGCCCAAAUUACACAUGCUCAGAUAAAGAGAGAAGCUUGACCCCGCUACACGCUCCAUUUACCCAAAACAAGCUACUUAUUAACUACCCAUACUGGAUCUGUUUGCUUAGUGAAUAUAAAUAAAUAGAUGCGGGUUGGAAAAAAAAGACGACAAAUUGAGUCUUUUUUUAUUACACAGGUAACUGGUAUUUAAUAGGCAAAUAUGUAGUUAGUAACUGGUAUUUAAUAGGUAAGAGUGUAGUUAGUAACUGGUAUUUAAUAGGUAAGAGUGUAGUUAGUAACUGGUAUUUAAUAGGUAAGCGUGUAGUUAGUAACUGGUAUUUAAUAGGUAAGUGUGUAGUUAGUAACUGGUAUUUAAUAGUUAAGAGUGUAGUUAGUAACUGGUAUUUAAUAGUUAAGAGUGUAGUUAGUAACUGGUAUUUAAUAGGUAAGAGUGUAGUUAGUAACUGGUAUUUAAUAGGUAAGAGUGUAGUUAGUAACUGGUAUUUAAUAGGUAAGCGUGUAGUUAGUAACUGGUAUUUAAUAGGUAAGAGUGUAGUUAGUAACUGGUAUUUAAUAGGUAAGAGUGUAGUUAGUAACUGGUAUUUAAUAGGCAAGAGUGUAGUUAGUAACUGGUAUUUAAUAGGCAAAUAUGUAGUUAGUAACUGGUAUUUAAUAGGUAAGAGUGUAGUUAGUAACUGGUAUUUAAUAGGCAAAUAUGUAGUUAGUAACUGGUAUUUGGUAUAGUAACUGGUAACUGGUAUAAGUCUAAGCUUAAAACGUAUUUGUUUACUCAAGCCUACCCUGACUAGAUUCUGUUCUACUUUCUCCCUCUCUCCUUUCGCCGAGCCCCACACGAAUUUAUGGAGAUACUAGAGAUCCAGAUCCUUUCUGCCUCUGGAUGGAGCUCAAAUCUUCUUUAAUUCCAGACUGCUGGGACUACGGCUGCUCUUAACGCCAUACAGACUUCAUAUAAAUCCAUAAUGAACUUUUUCACAAUAUCUGUUGUUACCCAGAUGAGGACGGGUUCCCUUCUGAGUCGGGUUCCUCUCAAGGUUUCUUCCUCUUAAAACAUCUUAGGGAGUUUUUCCUUGCCACUGUCGCCACUCAGUGGCUUGCUCAGCUGGGAUAAAUUCACACCUUUAAUAUCUGUAUACCAUGUUGAUAUUUCUGUAAAGCUGCUUUGAGACAAUGUCUAUUGUAAAAAGCGCUAUACAAAUAAAAUUGAAUUGAACUGAAUUGAAUUUAAUAGGUAAGCGUGUAGUUAGUAACUGGUAUUUAAUAGGUAAGCGUGUAGUUAGUAACUGGUAUUUAAUAGGCAAAUAUGUAGUUAGUAACUGGUAUUUAAUAGGUAAGCGUGUAGUUAGUAACUGGUAUUUAAUAGGUAAGAGUGUAGUUAGUAACUGGUAUUUAAUAGGUGAGUGUAGUUAGUAACUGGUAUUUAAUAGGUAAGAGUGUAGUUAGUAACUGGUAUUUAAUAGGUAAGAGUGUAGUUAGUAACUGGUAUUUAAUAGGUAAGAGUGUAGUUAGUAACUGGUAUUUAAUAGGUAAGAGUGUAGUUAGUAACUGGUAUUUAAUAGGUAAGAGUGUAGUUAGUAACUGGUAUUUAAUAGGUAAGACUGCAGUUAGUAAAUGGUAUUUAACAGGUAAGUACU
Ictalurus punctatus (channel catfish) is the source of this 2380-nucleotide long non-coding RNA. Lineage: Eukaryota; Metazoa; Chordata; Actinopteri; Siluriformes; Ictaluridae. The record is from Ensembl.